Zophobas morio is the source of this 732-nucleotide long non-coding RNA. RefSeq lists it as uncharacterized. The transcript is spliced from 3 exons. The record is from RefSeq and is a predicted model, not a curated record. NCBI's taxonomy places the organism in Eukaryota, Metazoa, Arthropoda, Insecta, Coleoptera, Tenebrionidae.
GGAAGGAAUAUAAUGGAGGGAGUGCGCCGUAUCUCGGCAAUGUAAAUUCUUGGCACCAGUGCAAGCACCUUUUAUUACUCUUUUCAAUUAGCGCGCCCUUCACCGCGCAUGCUUACUUUAAUAAUUUCAUCAGCCAGCACUGACCAGUGUCGUACGAUUCUGUUUUUGUCAUUUUCGCUUUUAACCUCGUGUUUAGUGUGAACGUUUUGUUUUGAAUUUGCGAUAAGCGUUUCAUGUUUAUUUAAAAACUUAAAAUGGUUAGUUGCAAAUUGUGUAAAGUUACGAGUGGCUCCAGGUCAACAAUUGGUAGAGAAAAAAUAACGUUUCACAGGUGUCCCCAGAAACCUGAAUUAAAGAAACUGUGGACAGACUUCCUUUAUCUUCACCUAGGAAAUUCUGUGUCUGUGAACAACUUUUUCCUGUGUUCAUUUCAUUUUGAAGAAAAGUGUUUUGAUAGAACAUCAGCCCAGAAAGUAGUUUUAAGACCACAUUCAGUACCAACUAUUUCUUAUACUUAUGAAGAAAGGAUUACCAAUGUAGUGACCUUUAGAGGCAAUGAAACGCAUCACACAGAAGUUUGUGACGCACCUUCGGUAGAGCCUCAACAGAAUAUAGAAGAUGAAUUGUCUAAUAAAGUUUUUGAAAUUACAAAGAAACUUGAAAAUUUAACAACAAAAACAUGUGCAAACGUUUUACUGAAACAACAAAUUAACAACCUGAAGACAUUAGUGU